Molecule: microRNA precursor, 102 nt
Filed under: Marmota monax (woodchuck)
Lineage: Eukaryota; Metazoa; Chordata; Mammalia; Rodentia; Sciuridae
Source: RNAcentral
CCGGGACAGAAAGUAAAUAGGGGUUUUGUGUGGGUCUUUGAAUACAGAACUGGUAAAAGCCCCAAAGACCCACACAAAACCCCUAUUUACUUUCUGUCCCGG